CCUACGGGGGGCUGCAGUGGGGAAUAUUGGACAAUGGGCGAAAGCCUGAUCCAGCCAUGCCGCGUGUGUGAAGAAGGCCUUCGGGUUGUAAAGCACUUUCAGUGGGGAAGAAAGCCUUGGGGCUAAUACCCUCGAGGAAGGACAUCACCCACAGAAGAAGCACCGGCUAACUCCGUGCCAGCAGCCGCGGUAAUACGGAGGGUGCGAGCGUUAAUCGGAAUUACUGGGCGUAAAGCGCGCGUAGGCGGUCUGAUAAGCCGGUUGUGAAAGCCCCGAGCUCAACCUGGGAACGGCAUCCGGAACUGUCAGGCUAGAGUGCAGGAGAGGAAGGUAGAAUUCCCGGUGUAGCGGUGAAAUGCGUAGAGAUCGGGAGGAAUACCAGUGGCGAAGGCGGCCUUCUGGACUGACACUGACGCUGAGGUGCGAAAGCGUGGGUAGCAAACAGGAUUAGAUACCCCGGUAGUC
RNAcentral lists this ribosomal RNA (465 nucleotides) under Vreelandella stevensii. RNAcentral's name for it is "partial 16S ribosomal RNA". It matches the Rfam family "Bacterial small subunit ribosomal RNA", at positions 338 to 795 of the family's 1533-position model. The record is from RNAcentral. Lineage: Bacteria; Pseudomonadati; Pseudomonadota; Gammaproteobacteria; Oceanospirillales; Halomonadaceae.